RNAcentral lists this ribosomal RNA (169 nucleotides) under Phytophthora capsici. RNAcentral's name for it is "5.8S ribosomal RNA". It matches the Rfam family "5.8S ribosomal RNA". Rfam says of the family: 5.8S ribosomal RNA (5.8S rRNA) is a component of the large subunit of the eukaryotic ribosome. It is transcribed by RNA polymerase I as part of the 45S precursor that also contains 18S and 28S rRNA. Functionally, it is thought that 5.8S rRNA may be involved in ribosome translocation. Lineage: Eukaryota; Oomycota; Peronosporomycetes; Peronosporales; Peronosporaceae. The record is from RNAcentral.
CAACUUUCAGCAUUGGAUGUCUAGGCUCGCACAUCGAUGAAGAACGCUGCGAACUGCGAUACGUAAUGCGAAUUGCAGGAUUCAUUGAGUCAUCGAAAUUUUGAACGCAUAUUGCACUUCCGGGUUAGUCCUGGGAGUAUGCCUGUAUCAUUGUCCGUACAUCAAACUU